Long non-coding RNA from Cloeon dipterum, 1042 nucleotides. RefSeq lists it as uncharacterized. The record is from RefSeq and is a predicted model, not a curated record. The transcript has 3 exons. NCBI's taxonomy places the organism in Eukaryota, Metazoa, Arthropoda, Insecta, Ephemeroptera, Baetidae.
UGCUGAUGAUCAUGAUGAUGAUGGGAACAUCAAAUUUCCUCUCUUCCCUCUUCCCCAGCAUCAUCCGUAAUAUGCUCAGCAGGAAUACACGCAUUGUGAUUGUGCUUCAGGACGAGGGCACACUUUCAAAAAUUCAACUGAAAUUAGGGGCAUUUUUCCAACGUCUUGUGGAGUUGAAUAUGGAAAUGCAGUGUGGUGCCGGCCUCUGGUCCAGUGAGCGUCCUUUCUCCGAGUGCGUUGCAUCAAGGGAGUGAAAUUUCGAUUUCAGCCAGCAGUUUUAGUGGUGGCGUGGUAUAUAAAAUUUAGUGUUCUAUAUGACUUUAAUUCGACGGCUUAUCCAUUGUAUUUGCUGAGCGGAGGCGCGUUCGUUCGUUCGUUCGUUCGCCAGAGUCAUCCUCUGAAUGUAAGCGCUUAAUACGCUAUAGAGGCACUCUUUCAUUUGGAAAAAGAGCGGCACGGCGGCGGCGGCUCCUCUUUCACUCAUCUGCACCCUUUUCAACCCCCGCUAGCCCGCCCGCACGCUUUGCCACCCAAAUAGCAGUCAGCGAUUUUCUCUUUGCGUCACUCUUUUUUAUUUUCAGAGCGUUCUCUCUCUCUCUCUCGGCGUUGAGAGUCAGUCCAACUGUAUUAAAGCCGCGUGAUAUGAAAGCGAAAAAGAGGUUAUAAUAUGUGUGUGUGCGCGCGUGGUAGGGGUUUUAAAAGGGCGUAAUAAUCAUCGUCGUGCGCGAAUAUGGUAUGCGCCCCGGCUGUUUGCUACGCUGCACCUCUCGAUGUGACUGAGCACACGCACAUAGUGGCAAUUAUUGCCACAUUCUCCACCCUCCCAUCUAACUGACAAUUACCCCAUUUUAAGGGACUCGAUCGUGCAGCGUGUAAUGCAAACUGGUAAUACUAAUUUGCCACUUUCCUAAAUGUUUUAAAAAAUUUUCUUUUCAAUAAAUUGCACCUACUUUUCACAUCAUAACGCACGAACAAUGGCAGAAAAAAUUAGAUAUUUAAAUAAAAUGCAGAAUUAGUUUCCUCCACCUUUUUUAAUUAUUAG